RNAcentral lists this ribosomal RNA (274 nucleotides) under uncultured bacterium. RNAcentral describes it as "partial 16S ribosomal RNA". It matches the Rfam family "Bacterial small subunit ribosomal RNA", at positions 523 to 796 of the family's 1533-position model. The record is from RNAcentral.
AUACGAAGGGGGCUAGCGUUGUUCGGAAUUACUGGGCGUAAAGCGCGCGUAGGCGGAUUGGUCAGUUAGGGGUGAAAUCCCAGGGCUUAACCCUGGAACUGCCUCUAAUACUGCCAGUCUUGAGUUCGGGAGAGGUGAGUGGAAUUCCUAGUGUAGAGGUGAAAUUCGUAGAUAUUAGGAAGAACACCAGUGGCGAAGGCGGCUCACUGGCCCGGUACUGACGCUGAGGUGCGAAAGCGUGGGGAGCAAACAGGAUUAGAAACCCUAGUAGUCC